GACGAACGCUGGCGGCGUGCUUAACACAUGCAAGUCGAACGGAAAGGCCCUGCUUUUGUGGGGUGCUCGAGUGGCGAACGGGUGUGUAACACGUGAGUAACCUGCCCUUGACUUUGGGAUAACUUCAGGAAACUGGGGCUAAUACCGGAUAGGAGCUCCUGCUGCAUGGUGGGGGUUGGAAAGUUUCGGCGGUUGGGGAUGGACUCGCGGCUUAUCGGCUUGUUGGUGGGGUAGUGGCUUACCAAGGCUUUGACGGGUAGCCGGCCUGAGAGGGUGACCGGCCACAUUGGGACUGAGAUACGGCCCAGACUCCUACGGGAGGCAGCAGUGGGGAAUAUUGCACAAUGGGCGGAAGCCUGAUGCAGCAACGCCGCGUGCGGGAUGACGGCCUUCGGGUUGUAAACCGCUUUCGCCUGUGACGAAGCGUGAGUGACGGUAAUGGGUAAAGAAGCACCGGCUAACUACGUG
This 468-nucleotide ribosomal RNA is filed under the name uncultured bacterium. RNAcentral's name for it is "partial 16S ribosomal RNA". It matches the Rfam family "Bacterial small subunit ribosomal RNA", at positions 28 to 507 of the family's 1533-position model. The record is from RNAcentral.